Molecule: ribosomal RNA, 459 nt
Filed under: uncultured bacterium
Lineage: Bacteria
Description: partial 16S ribosomal RNA
Rfam family: Bacterial small subunit ribosomal RNA
Source: RNAcentral
GAUGAACGCUGGCGGCGUGCCUAAUACAUGCAAGUCGAGCGGUAAGGCCCCCUCGGGGGUACACGAGCGACGGACGGCUGAGUAACACGUAGGAACGUACCCCAAACUGAGGGAUAACUGCUCGAAAGAGUAGCUAAUACCGCAUGUGCUCUAAGGAGUAAAGCUACGGCGGUUUGGGAACGGCCUGCGUCCGAUUAGCUAGUUGGUGAGGUAAUUGCUCACCAAGGCGACGAUCGGUAGCUGGUCUGAGAGGAUGAUCAGCCAGACUGGGACUGAGACACGGCCCAGACUCCUACGGGAGGCAGCAGUAGGGAAUUUUCCACAAUGGGGGCAACCCUGAUGGAGCAACGCCGCGUGCAGGAUGAAUGCUUUCGAGUUGUAAACUGCUUUUAUCUGUGACGAAUAUGACGGUAGCAGAUGAAUAAGGAUCGGCUAACUCCGUGCCAGCAGCCGCCGUAA